UACGUAGGUGACAAGCGUUGUCCGGAUUUACUGGGCGUAAAGAGCGCGCAGGCGGUUGCGCGCGUGGGGUGUGAAAGCUGGUGGCUUAACUGCCAGAUGCCAUCCCAUACGGCGCGACUCGAGCCCGUGAGAGGUCCACGGAAUUGCCGGUGUAGUGGUGAAAUGCGUAGAGAUCGGCAGGAACACCCAGGGGGAAACCAGUGGACUGGCACGGUGCUGACGCUCAGGUGCGAAAGCGUGGGGAGCGAACCGG
RNAcentral lists this ribosomal RNA (253 nucleotides) under uncultured bacterium. RNAcentral's name for it is "partial 16S ribosomal RNA". It matches the Rfam family "Bacterial small subunit ribosomal RNA", at positions 524 to 776 of the family's 1533-position model. The record is from RNAcentral.